GGCUCGGUGGUGCAACGGUAGCGCGCUUGACUCCAGCUCAGAAGGCUGCGUGUUCAAAUCACGUCCGGGUCA
This 72-nucleotide transfer RNA is filed under the name Araneus ventricosus. It matches the Rfam family "tRNA". From Rfam's summary of the family: Transfer RNA (tRNA) molecules are approximately 80 nucleotides in length. Their secondary structure includes four short double-helical elements and three loops (D, anti-codon, and T loops). Lineage: Eukaryota; Metazoa; Arthropoda; Arachnida; Araneae; Araneidae. The record is from Rfam by way of RNAcentral.